AUCAUCAACUAUCUCAGAAAUAUUUUAGACGCAUUAAAUAUUCAUAUCAUUCUUCACGAACCACUCGCAGCGUACAUCAGCUACAAAAUGCUUAGGGAAUAUUACAAAAUUUUAAUUAUACUACAGCUCAUUAUAAUAGUUUCGGAAAGUCGGAAAGUUAAGAUAGAAACAUCUCAUCCUCCAAGGGAUUACAGACCUUCGAAAUGGCUGUCCAACAGCGCUAUGGAUAUGUGGUUCGGAAAUAAAUCAAUCGUUGAAAUUAUUGGUAGAGAAUUUGCUGACGUCGUCAAUCGAUUUGCCAGCAGGCGAGCCCGAGAUGUUCUCAUACAAAAAUACUCAAAUCAAGAAUCGACUAUAAAUAAUUAUUCAGCAUCGAACGGAACUUCGCACUACGUAUAAAUAUUAAUACAUAUCUUGGGAAUUUUAAUAGAAUCUGCAAAUAUUUUUUGUGUUUCAAUUUACAGGUUAAAUUCGCUUUGCUGGUGAGAAUUUGAGUUCGAAAGAUUGUCUAUCGUUUAAGUAGAGCCGAUCCAACCAUGAUUAGCAUAAUGUCGUAACAAAACUUUUUUUUAAAAUAAAAAGGCCAAUGGCAUUUAAUUAAAUUACCACAGAACUAUUAUUCUCGUAGGUGCACGUAAUAAAUAUAUAACGUGGCAUAUAUACGAACGUUCUUCAACCCAAAUUCAUACCAUAUCAUAAGAUAAAAUAAUCGAACACCGUGGUAAAUAAAAAGGUUAUAAUUUUUU
Long non-coding RNA from Bombyx mori (domestic silkworm), 746 nucleotides. RefSeq lists it as uncharacterized. NCBI's taxonomy places the organism in Eukaryota, Metazoa, Arthropoda, Insecta, Lepidoptera, Bombycidae. The transcript has 2 exons. The record is from RefSeq and is a predicted model, not a curated record.